RNAcentral lists this signal recognition particle RNA (274 nucleotides) under Callithrix jacchus (white-tufted-ear marmoset). RNAcentral describes it as "Metazoan signal recognition particle RNA (ENSCJAG00000067483.2)". It matches the Rfam family "Metazoan signal recognition particle RNA". From Rfam's summary of the family: The signal recognition particle (SRP) is a universally conserved ribonucleoprotein. Lineage: Eukaryota; Metazoa; Chordata; Mammalia; Primates; Cebidae. The record is from Rfam by way of RNAcentral.
ACCGGGCACGGUGGUGCAUGCCUGUAGUCCCAGCUUUUCGGGAGGCUGAGGUGGGAGGAUCUCUUGAGCCCGAGAGUUCUGGGCUAUAUUGCACUAUGCCGAGCGGCUGUCUGCACAAAGUUCGGCAUCAAUAUGGUGACCUCCCUGGAGUGGGGAAACUCCAGGUUGCCUAAGGAGCGGUCAACCGGCCCGGGUCAGAAAUGGAGCAGGUCAAAACUCCCACGCUGAUCAGUAGUGGGAUCGCACAUUGCACUCCAGAGAGACUCCAUCUCUU